GGAUGAAUGAAGGAGUGACAAAACAAAUGGGCGUAAGCAUCACAAUGACUACUUUUUGGCUGAAGUUGACAAGAAUUUCAGGACCAUCCACAAGAUUUUCUGCCUGUUAGGUCAGAGGGCAAUGGAAAACACUUGGCUUUGCUUGUCUUGUGGAGAAAGGAACAUAAUAAGGAGAAGGAGCACAAUCAGAUACAAAGCAAUCACUGUGUUUGGAUGCACUUCUAACCCACAUGGCUAUGAAGAUGUCAGAGAAUCCAUGAGUGUUUGUUCAGAAACCUGUUCACAUACAAAUCGGGAGAGCAGGAGCUGCUGGCAAGGCACAGUCACUCUGCACAUCUGACUCAGGGCAGGACACAGCUGGGGCUGCUUGGGUCUACACCAGGAGCUCACUCUGGCACUCUGACUGCUGUAUGGAGAAUGCUCUGGAGGUCAGUUCCUAGGAUGCAGGAAAAGCACUAGGGAUGCUAUUGCAGGAGAUGAGGGUUUAAUCAGGAAUCAGAACCUCUCUGAGUAGCAUGGAAUCAAGAAUUUAUGAUAGGAAUAAGUCUUUAUGUAAUUACGGAAGAACCUGGGGAAGGAAGGAUCUGGCAGGAGGAAAAAAAGAGCAGAAAAAAGCCACUAACCAGAAGCCACUAACCACUAACUUGCCAGAAGCACCAGCUUGGGUAGAGAAGUUGCAGCUUGCAAGGAAAUCUGGAAAGCCAGAACAUCAAGCUGCCAGAGUGCAGCUGUGAAGGGGAGCUGACGGAAAAGUGUAUGGAAACUUAAAUCCUCUGCUUAACCACCUUUUCUAUAAUUCUACCACCAAGCUUCUGGUGAUGGGCCUGGAGAGGCUACUGGUCAGCAGGGCCAGCAGUCAGGAAAACUGGAUGGAUGGGGGUGGGCAGAAGGUGAGAUCAAGCUGGAACCCUCUAGCGCCUCUGCAUCUGUCUUCCCUUCCAUGUAAGCACAGUGACCUUCAGAGAGUAACGGCUCAGAUCUGCCUUGCAAAUAUCAAGCGAAUUCCUUUUGUACCCUACUCUAACCUGGAAACAGAGAGAAGGUGAUGCUGCGGAACCGUUCUCCAGUAACCAAGUAAACACAGCCACAACCUCCCACUCUCUGUUCUCAUUGUCUUUCCAUCCGCCAGACACGCCUUUGCCCAUCUUACUAUUCCGAUCUUUCUGUAUUAUUUUGCUUCAAGCUUGUCCCUUAUAAAGAGUAGACAUUGGUUUUAUGAGUGCUAUUCUUGUUCCCCAAAGAAAGCUGUCUUUUAAUAAGAAUGUUAAAA
Molecule: long non-coding RNA, 1270 nt
Filed under: Equus caballus (horse)
Lineage: Eukaryota; Metazoa; Chordata; Mammalia; Perissodactyla; Equidae
Description: lncRNA (ENSECAG00000044189.1)
Source: RNAcentral